GCCUACGGGGGGCAGCAGUGGGGGAUAUUGCACAAUGGGGGGAACCCUGAUGCAGCGACGCCGCGUGGGUGAAGAAGCGCCUCGGCGCGUAAAGCCCUGUCAGCAGGGAAGGAAAUGACGGUACCUGAAGAAGAAGCCCCGGCUAACUACGUGCCAGCAGCCGCGGUAAUACGUAGGGGGCAAGCGUUAUCCGGAUUUACUGGGUGUAAAGGGGGCGCAGACGGCGAUGCAAGCCAGGAGUGAAAGCCCGGGGCCCAACCCCGGGACUGCUCUUGGAACUGCGUGGUUGGAGUGCAGGAGGGGCG
RNAcentral lists this ribosomal RNA (305 nucleotides) under uncultured bacterium. Its description in RNAcentral is "partial 16S ribosomal RNA". It matches the Rfam family "Bacterial small subunit ribosomal RNA", at positions 337 to 659 of the family's 1533-position model. The record is from RNAcentral.